CGGUUUGAGAGCUUGAAGCUGCCAGCAUGAUCUGGUACCACUAGAGACUAAACCUAGCUAGCUAGCUUUAUAAAUUCUAUAUUCAGGGUUAAUUUUGUGCUUAUAUCAUAUAUGUCCCUUUUGAGGUUUCGAUAUAAGAACUGCACCAAAUAGAUCGGCAAAAGAUCAGCUUUAUAUAGAAAUAGUUAUUAUUCUCGCACCACCCAGUUAUUAGAAUAGGAUCUGGUCGGUGUUGAUUUUGUGCUUAAGUCGGAUGGUUUCAGGUUUAGAUAUAAGCUAGAACGCCGAAUAGAUUUGCAGAAGAUCCAGCUUUUCAUGUAAAUUGGACCAAAAUUUUGAUGGGGGUAUUAUAGUUUUUGAUAGAUCUUGGUUUAUUUCAUGUUCUGGGAGUUCUGGAGAAACGGGCCGGUUUGGAGUCAAUUGAUUCAGUUAAUCACUACAUAAUUAUAUAAGGUUACUCUAGCUAUACCAGGUCAUCUUGCAGCUUCAAACACUCACUCA
RNAcentral lists this microRNA precursor (501 nucleotides) under Rosa chinensis. RNAcentral's name for it is "sRNA RchiOBHm_Chr5g0020031". It matches the Rfam family "MIR167 microRNA precursor family". Lineage: Eukaryota; Viridiplantae; Streptophyta; Magnoliopsida; Rosales; Rosaceae. The record is from RNAcentral.